AAUAUAGGACAACUCCCCCAUUCCCUCCCAUUCCCACACGCAGGGUCGCCAUCAUCCAAUGGCAAACACGCAUUUUUUUUAUUUUUUAUGAAGCUAUCCCUUCCGAGCCAAUCCCCGUCGCUCCAGUGAUCCCUGUAAACCGGAUGCCCUUCCUUCCGGCCCCUCAAACGCAGCGUAAUCUGUGGAUCAGGGGAGGCAGACGCACACAGGCGGUGUGGACUUGGGCUCCGAUGGAGGUGAUGAGGAUGGAAAAAAAACAGAAGAAGAAGAAGAAGAAGAAGAAGAAGAAAUAGCAUCAGUCCCCGCCACCUCGACUGGAAGGUGAAUCCCGAUCAAAAGAUGAAGGGAAAACACUAUGCUGCUGCAGCGCGUUUUUAACCCCGAAGAGGAAAGACUUCAGUUUCUGGCGAUUACAAGAUGGUAUUCUGCAAUAAAGCAGAUUCUCAAAGCUCAUAUCCGAGCUUAAACGCACCUCGUUAUACUCUGUGUGUAUAACAUGAUCAGAACUGUCAGUGCCCCAAGGACAGGACACUCUCUGCCACUGUCUUGUGUCAUUAUAUCCCCCCUGUUGUGCAACCUGACCUCUUUGGUCUUGCCCGAGUCUCUAUCCUCCUCCCCCCCCUCCUCUUCUUCUUCCUCCUCUUCCUCCUCUGCGCCCUGCCUUCUCUGUCACAUCGGCUCAGGGUCAGGGCCGCCGCCCCGCCUGCCUCGGCGAACAUUCAACGCUGUCGGUGAGUUUGGUUUGAGUAGCACAUAAACCAUCGACCGUUGACUGUGCCCCGUGGCUUGCUCUGGCGAUGUCAAAUCGGAGCAAAAAACGGAAAAAAAAAAUGGGGGGGGGAAAGACCAAAAAACGAACAAAAGGGCAAGUGGGCGCCACAUGCAAAUGCAGAGAUGGAAACCACAUGCGCACAUGCUCAUAAGUGCCACUUUGUGUUCGCUGUACCCAAAGACCAAAGGUCACAAUCAACAUUCAUUGCUGUCGCUGGGUUGGACUCUGUAAGAAAGCUCACUGAACAAUGAGUGCAACUGUGGCCCAGAUCUGCCUGACUCGCGUCUCAGCCAAUCAGACGACCGGAUGUGAAGCACUCUGAUUUCUUUAUUUAUGUACUUCUUGUUUUUCACUUCUAUUUUUUCCCCUCUCUUCCUCCCUCUCCGGUGCCGGGAGUUUUCAGAGGAGGAAGGCAGAGAGAUAGGUGGCACAAAUAGACUUCUGGCUGCCUGCUUGUCCUCAGCCUCCUCUUCUCUCCUCUAAUUGAUGGUUAUGUGUGCAGCAUGGGGGAAGGAAGCCGAGUGAAUGUGUAAUCAUUUGGAGUCUCUUCUCCUUUAGAUGUUUCAUCCCUCUCUUUUUUGUUUGUCUAAUUAUACGCUGAGCUCAGUUAACUGUGUGUCUGCGCUGGCAGGGAAGGCAGAUUUGCGAAAAAGGGAGGACAAUUGAGGGGAAAAAGGAAGAUUACAGCUUUAGAAAAAAGAAAUAGAUUUAGUUUUGAGUUUAUUUUUCAUAAUAAUUCUCCUGGUGCCCAUGGAAAUGUGUUUGAAUAAAAGCAAUUUUGCAGCGUAAGAGGAAGAGUAUUUCCACCUUUUUGAUAAAAGAUGCCUCGUUAUCUGUAUUUAAACGUCUUGGAGUUCUACCUACCAGUCCCAGAGUGCAAGUGCUCUCUACGUUAGAGGACGCGUCUGCUCGUCUCAGGGUGUAAUAUGUUAUUUUACUUCAACACUGACGCUAACGCUCUCGUGGGGAAACAUAAAGUCAAUAACCCUGUCUCUCUUCACAGUCUGUGACCCACCUUAUUGCUGCCGUCUGUGAAACCUCUCACUGUCCUGUAUCAGUUAUUCACACGCUGCUGAAACCAAAUGUACACACACUCUGUUGAAAAAGAUGAAACCUUUAUUUCUCUCAGUUUGAAAAGCAACAACAAAAAGAAAAUUGCAAAAUCUAGUUCUUAUUAUAUAUAUAUAUUUUUUUUUAAGUUUGGUGGAUUUCUGGCCCAUGUGGUGUAACUCAGUCAGGUUUGCAGGCUGAGAUCAGAGCUUUAUGAUGGCCACAAUAAAUUAAACUGCUUUGUAACCAACUUAAUGGUACAUUGCCCGUUUUGAGGAUCGAUUUCGGUCCAAAAUAUGCCCUUUUCAAUAUUUCCACUUGAAGUUGUUGCCUCAUAACGCUAUCUAAUUUAGGAAGUGACCAGUUCCUCCUGUAGCAAGCUUCCUCCCACAAGCUUUUCCUUUUUUUUUAUUGAAGUGCAAUUUAGUUUCAUAAGACUACCGGACAUGUCUCCAAAAAAUAAAAGUCUUGGUGUCUGAGUGAUUUUACAAACUGCAAUCUGGCUUUUUACGUUGCUCCUGGAAUAACGGCUUCUUCCUCUCUGAGUGGACUUGUGUUACGCUGACUAAAGACAACAAUGUUGUCUUUUUUACAAUGUUUUCUACUUUUGUUUUUGGGGUUCUUGGCUAGCUUCCUUUGAUCGUUCCAUGGUGUCAAAAAAGGUAAACUCAAAUUGUUUAAAGUUAUAGCAAUCUGUGUCUAAACUCCUGACUUUGACGAAACCAACAAAAAAAAAUACCCUUUAAAAAAAUUGGAAAUUUAUCAAAAGGAAAUAAUUUAGAUAAUUUUAACUGACCAGGAAGAGUUUGUUUUAUUUUUCUGAAGACUGCAGGGGCAUAAAAUGACUAAACGUCUCUUUACUCAGAGUAUGUACAUAUCUGGUUUUCAGCUGCGUUUGUCGUUUUAUUCUCUCAACAACGUUUCUUCAGUGAUUUCCUGACUAAGCCAAUAAAGUUCAAUCCAGACCAAUU
Molecule: long non-coding RNA, 2793 nt
Organism: Poecilia latipinna (sailfin molly)
Lineage: Eukaryota; Metazoa; Chordata; Actinopteri; Cyprinodontiformes; Poeciliidae
Exons: 2
Source: RefSeq, a predicted model, not a curated record